This 460-nucleotide ribosomal RNA is filed under the name uncultured bacterium. RNAcentral's name for it is "partial 16S ribosomal RNA". It matches the Rfam family "Bacterial small subunit ribosomal RNA", at positions 338 to 795 of the family's 1533-position model. The record is from RNAcentral.
CCUACGGGUGGCAGCAGUGAGGAAUAUUGGUCAAUGGGCGAGAGCCUGAACCAGCCAAGUCGCGUGAAGGAUGACGGCCCUACGGGUUGUAAACUUCUUUUGUCAGGGCGCAAUUGGGUCCACGCGUGGGCUUAGCGUUAGUACCUGAAGAAAAAGCAUCGGCUAAAUCCGUGCCAGCAGCCGCGGUAAUCCGGAGGAGGCGAGAGGUAUCCGGAUUUAUUUGGUUUAAAGGGUGCGUAGGCGGAAUAUCAAGUCAGCGGUAAAAAUUCGGGGCGCAACCCCGUCGUGCCGUUGAUACUGGUGUUCUUGAGUGGGCGAGAAGUAUGCGGAAUGCGUGGUGUAGCGGUGAAAUGCAUAGAUAUCACGCAGAACUCCGAUUGCGAAGGCAGGAUACCGGCGCCCAACUGACGCUGAAGCACGAAAGCGUGGGUAUCGAACAGGAUUAGAUACCCUAGUAGUC